AUCCAGUAGUGGGAGUAAUGGUUUA
This 25-nucleotide unclassified non-coding RNA is filed under the name Dictyostelium discoideum. Lineage: Eukaryota; Evosea; Eumycetozoa; Dictyosteliales; Dictyosteliaceae. The record is from RNAcentral.